Molecule: long non-coding RNA, 1924 nt
Organism: Salvia splendens (bonfire salvia)
Lineage: Eukaryota; Viridiplantae; Streptophyta; Magnoliopsida; Lamiales; Lamiaceae
Exons: 2
Source: RefSeq, a predicted model, not a curated record
AACCACUCUGCACAAUUUCAACUCAAGGUAAACAAUCCCUCUAUCGAUUUGUACCUAAAUUGCUCCUAUUUCAGAAUCUAACACCAACGAUUGCUAUCAAUAGAAAUCGGAAUUUUCAGCUUUAGGAAUCUCCUUUCUGACCAUGUGAACUCCAUAACCAAGUCCUACUCACGGAGGUACCAAGAGGUAGAUCUGACAUCGAAAAUUAGGAACGAACAUGCAAAGAUCAUUGAAGUCUUAUGAACCAAAAGUCAGGACAUAGAAUGAGCAACCCCUGAAGACCCGAAUGACUGCGUUUAUGUAUUUGUUGAAUAUAAUUAAGGCCCAUCAAGUAAAACAAAAGAAUGUAAACAAUUACGGUAACCAACUGGAGUACUUGAAAUAGAGUGAAGCAACCCCUGAAGACCCAAAUGAUAGUGAUAGUGAAAAGUGCAUUUCACAGUAAUGUCAAACUUUGAGCAAACAGGCAGGCACAACAAUUACACAUGUAAAGAUACUAUUAGCGCGUAACAGUAUUAACUGACGAAAGUGAUACUGACCUUGAAAAUAAAUAUGCAACGGCCAGCACUGUUGAUAAUGAUCUGACAAAAUUUAGGACCCGCUUUUUAACAAUCUGGCCAGCUUCGGAAGGAAGAAUCAUUGGAUCCAAUGCUCUGUAAGAGAUUGAGUUCCACUCAGUAAGUCACAUAACAGGUAUAUCUGUUUUUUUUCUUAAUAACCAACCUGCAGAUGUAGAUUGCUCCUGCCCAUAGCAGUAAAGGUUGAAUGUAAGAGGCUGUGACAUGAAAUGUGCUGCUUCUUCACCAGCUGCUAUCACUUUUCUGCAUUCAGUAUGAUGGAAGGUGGUUUAAUAUAGGCAAUAAAAAGAGUCAACUCAACUUCAUGUAGCCUCUUUCCAUAUAAUUGUUCCAUAGAAGCAUACAACAGUGAGUUUUGACAAGGAGAAACUGCAUUACCAACCACGAACCCCAAAAAAUUUGUUUCUGCAUUGUCUGACAAGCGGCCUGAGUCCCCAUAUUGCAAAAAUAACAAAACCUACAGCUGAAGCCAAUUUGAUCACAUGGGGAUUUCCAUUCAAGGAUCUGCAAAGCCCCAAGAUUUUUUACGAAAAUAUUGCUAAAACCAAGGGGCAUGUAAGCAGAUGCUUCGCCAAACAACAUGCAAGGCCCCAACAGGCAACAUGUAUGAAGAACGCAUAUGCAUACUUUAUUUUAAAGUUGUACUGAUUGGCCUUUCUGGCACAAGCAUAUUCCAAAGCUAAAUAAUCAACAUCAUCAGCUAAAGUCUAUGCACAACCAGUCAAGAUUCAGUGCUGAGUCAUCCCAAAAUAAUAUUCAAUGUUCUUCAAGGAAUUUGCUCUCCUACAAGUAUGUUAAGAUCACCAUGCAUCUUUUUAUACUUGAUAUGCUCAACAAAUGAAACUAACAACACGCCCAUUGGCCAUUUGGUGUUCCACUUAUGGGGUAUAAUUAAAGUUCGUGAAGGUAUGUACUCUUCUGCAUACACAACAUUUACAGCCAAAAAAAACUAAGCAAUCAUCUUAAAUGUCUUUCAUCUUUCAUCAUACAUUUUUUGGGGAGUAAAACAGCUGUGCGAGGGGAAAAAUAAAAUUUGUGCCAAAGCACUACCCUUCUCAUAUGUAUGAAUAGGGUAAAUUGUUUUAACAUGUGUACUUGGCUCACACUAAUGUUUGGAGUAAAAUUUGGAGACUAGUUAGCAACUGCAAUAUGUGAUUCUACUUCCACAUUGGAAACUGUAAUCUAAAUUGUCUCAUCAGUCAUCCCCCACCCCAACACCCGGUACUGUAAUAAACUACUUUUUCCCUUAUAAAUUAUCACAAUAUAUUAAUAACACACACACACAUCCCCAAAUGUUCACACAUGCACACACAUAUUCAUUUUAACACUUCUUUUUCUCUUGCAAA